GGUUGAUCCUGCCAGUAACAUAUGCUUGUCUCAAAGAUUAAGCCAUGCAUGUCUAAGUAUAAACAACUUUAUACUGUGAAACUGCGUACAGCUCAUUAAAUCAGUCAUUAUUUAUUUGAAAGUUUCUUACUACACAUGGAUACCCGUAGUAAUUCUAGAGCUAAUACAUGCAAAAAAUCCUGACUCACGAAAGGAUGUAUUUAUUAGAUAAAAAACCAAUGCACCCUCUGGGUGGUUUCUGGUGACUCAUAAUAACUGAUCGAAU
This 265-nucleotide ribosomal RNA is filed under the name uncultured eukaryote. Its description in RNAcentral is "partial 18S ribosomal RNA". It matches the Rfam family "Eukaryotic small subunit ribosomal RNA", at positions 6 to 269 of the family's 1831-position model. The record is from RNAcentral.